RNAcentral lists this ribosomal RNA (496 nucleotides) under uncultured bacterium. RNAcentral describes it as "partial 16S ribosomal RNA". It matches the Rfam family "Bacterial small subunit ribosomal RNA", at positions 28 to 523 of the family's 1533-position model. The record is from RNAcentral.
GAUGAACGCUAGCGGCAGGCCUAAUACAUGCAAGUCGAGGGGCAGCGGGGUAGCAAUACUGCCGGCGACCGGCGCACGGGUGCGUAACACGUAUGCAACCUACCUUAAACUGGGAGAUAGCCCGGGGAAACUCGGAUUAAUACCCCAUAAUACAUUGGUUCACAUGAAUUGAUUGUUAAAGAUUUAUCGGUUUAAGAUGGGCAUGCGUUCGAUUAGCUAGUUGGUAAGGUAACGGCUUACCAAGGCUACGAUCGAUAGGGGGUCUGAGAGGAUGAUCCCCCACACUGGUACUGAGAUACGGACCAGACUCCUACGGGAGGCAGCAGUAGGGAAUAUUGGUCAAUGGAGGCAACUCUGAACCAGCCAUGCCGCGUGUAGGAAGAAGGCGUUCUGCGUUGUAAACUACUUUUGAUUGGGAACAAAUGACUCUUGCGAGAGUAGCUGAGUGUACCAAUAGAAUAAGCCACGGCUAACUACGUGCCAGCAGCCGCCGUAA